This 3422-nucleotide unclassified non-coding RNA is filed under the name Eurytemora carolleeae. Its description in RNAcentral is "piwi-like protein 1". Lineage: Eukaryota; Metazoa; Arthropoda; Copepoda; Calanoida; Temoridae. The record is from RNAcentral.
AACAUCGAAACAUUUUGAAAUUUUGUGCUUAAUAAUAUACUAUCAUUUAUAGAACCAUGGCUGAUAAUGCCCACAAGGCAACAACGGAAGAACUUGUCAGACAUCUUGAAGUUCGGAAGAAGCUGGAUGCUCUGAAAUUAGCCAGAGCAGCUCAACGAUCUGACGAAGCAGUAGGAGGGGCGGCUGCUGGAGCUGGUGAUGCUGCCGUUGGUGGAGGAGCGGCGGCUCCUGGAAGAUUGGCUCCGAGAAUUGGAGGAAUGGGAAGAGCUGCUUUCAUAGAAUCCAUCAAGAGGAAUAAUGCUGACCUGGCUGCAAAAGGAGUACACAAUGAAGAGCUUGGGAAGUAUCUCAGUGAUCAAGGCUUACUCCUGAAUUUACAAGAACAUGUGCCAAUUGUUAUUCCUCCUGCUAUCACUGUUCCUUCAGCUAGCACUGCUCCUCCGAGCUCAGCUCCAACUGUUCCUGCUUCUGCCAGAGCCCGUAUUCUGGAGAGGGCUAGGCAGAUGGCUGAAGCGAAAGCCAGAAAUAAACUUCUCGAUCCAUCGUCGACCACUAAACCUGAAAAUAUAUCUCGGAACGAUUCUGGAAACAAUACUCAGAAUCUGUCUGGGAAUACAACCCAGAAUCAAUCUGGGAAUACUGCCCAGAAUCAAGGAAAUACAACUCUGAAUGUAUCUGAGAAUUCUCUGGUAGUCACUGCUUCUACCCACAACUUAUCUGGGUUAUCUGAAAGUAAAACCAAGAAUUUGACAGAUGAAGGUAUUGUAUCCGGGAGCUUUGGAACCUCUACUCAUGCCGGUACAGAUGGUACAGCUGGUACAGCUGGUACUGGCGAGCUAGUGGACAGGGACAAGUUCUCCCUCCUCCCAACCUAUCCUCCAAAGAAGAGAGGAGAAAAGGGAAGGGAGUUCAACGCUUCCGCAAAUAUUGUCAGGUUGACCGUGAAGCAGGAUAUGGGGGUAUAUGAGUAUAGUGUUCAAUUCAAUCCUCCCAUGGAUAAUAUCAGAGAGAAGAAACGUCAUAUCCGGAGGUUUACGGAUACCAUAGGAGCUACAUACAAGUUUGAUGGUGCUACGCUAUGGUUACCGAUUCUCCUACGCAAGCUUCAUAAUGUGUUCAGCAUAACCUCAGAGUCUGGUGAGCCAGUGCUGGUAACUAUCCGUCCAGUUCGUCGAGUUGAGUUAAAAAAUGCUCUGCAUUUUUUCAAUGUUCUCUUCAACAAGAUAAUGGAGAUACUCAAGUUCGUGGAGAUCAAGAGGAAUCACUAUGAUCCUUUAGCUCCAAUGAUGGUUCCGCAGCAUAAGCUUGAGAUCUGGCCUGGAUAUGUAUCAAGAGUUCAUGAAACUGAUGGAGGACUGAUGCUCAUCUGCGAUACUUCAUUUAAAGUUCUCCGGAAUGAAUUUGCUUAUGAUAUCAUCCGUGAGGUGACAAAGAGAGGUGGAGGUAAUCUCAAGAAUACUCUGGAGAAGGUUCUUGUUGGACAGAUUGUAAUGACUGAGUACAACAAGGCACAAACCUACAGAGUAGAUGAGAUAGAUAUGGAAACAACUCCUCAAAGCUCCUUCAUUAAUUAUAGAGGCGAGUCUCAGACCUACAUCAACUACUACAAGAAUAAGUGGAACAUUGAUAUUAAGGACCAUGAGCAGCCCAUGAUUGUAUUCAGGGAGAGGAGGAAAAAACAAGAAGAGUUCAACGAGGAGAGGCUUGUCUACUUGGUUCCAGAACUGUGCAGGAUGACCGGACUCACUGAUGCCAUGCGGGCAAAUUAUGGUGUAAUGAAGGAUGUUGCUCUCUUUACCAAAGUUUCUCCGGAUCAGAGACAGCAGGCUCUGAAGAAAUUUUUGAAGAAGGUGAAUGAUAAUCCUGAAGCCAGUCAGAUUCUUAAUGACUGGGGGCUUGCUCUGGACACUGAACCAAUCAGGAUGAAGGGAAGGAUCCUAGACCCGGAGAAGCUGGUGAUGGGCAAGGGAUCCAAGUUCACUGUCAACUUGAAGGCGGACUGGGGCAGAGAUUCUACUAACAACAGCAGCUUGGUCUCAGUUCCGUUGAAGACCUGGCAUAUCGUGUGCGCUGACCGCAACACAGCAGUUGUUAAAGGGUUUAUAGAGCUUGUGAGAAAGCUAGCUCCCAAGAUGGGAAUGGAUGUCACCCAGCCAACACUCUCCAUCAUUCAGUCUGAUAAAACUGAUCUGUAUCUGAGGGAUUUGAAGGAGAAGAUUAAUGGUAGUACACAGAUAGUCGUCUGUAUAGUUCCCCUCCAGAGAGAAGACAGGUAUGGAGCUCUCAAGAAGUUCUGUAAUGUUGACUGUCCUAUACCUAGCCAGGUGAUAGUUGCGAAGACUAUAUCAGAUGAGAGGAAGGUGACGAGCGUUGUGCAGAAGAUCCUACUGCAGAUAAACUGCAAGCUGGGUGGGGAGCUGUGGGGGUGUUCUAUUCCCUUGAAGAACCUGAUGUGUAUUGGUAUUGAUGUGUACCAUGAUCCCUCCAGACAGAGGCCUAGUGUUGUAGGUGCUGUUGGUUCGAUGAACUGCACAAUGUCCAAGUGGUACAGUGACUGUAGGCUCCAGGAGACCAAGGGUCAGGAGCUGAUAGAUGUUCUCACAAUCUGUCUAGGAAAAUUGGUUCAGAAAUAUAGAGAGCUAAACAAGUGCUUUCCAGAUCAGAUUGUUCUGUUCCGUGACGGAGUCGGAGAUGGACAGAUUGAUACAGUGGCGCUCCAUGAAGCUGUUCAGAUUGAGAGAUUCUUCACAACAAUGAAGUUCAACCCUGAGUUUAUCUUCAUCAUUGUUCAGAAGAGAAUUAACGAGAGGUUCUUUGAUUUGAAUGGGAGUGGGAAGUAUCAGAACCCUCCUCCUGGGAGUGUUAUUGAUCACACCAUCAUGAGAGUUCAAUACUACGAUUUCCUGCUAGUAUCUCAACAUGUUUCACAGGGAACUGUAACCCCGACUCAUUAUGUUGUGAUUAAAGAUACCUCAAAGUUCUCUCCUGAUAUUGUUCAGAAGAUCAGUUAUAAACUGACCCAUAUGUACUUCAACUGGCCUGGAACUAUCCGUGUACCAGCACCCUGCCAGUACGCUCACAAGCUAGCUUAUCAGAUUGGAGAACAUGUGAAGAUGGAACCAUCUAUGCUACUCAUGGAACGUCUUUUCUACCUCUAGAUUCCAAUCUAGUCGAAUCAUAGCAGUAGAAAUUAUUAAAACAACCUGCUCAAACAAAGUAUAAUUGAACAAUUUACCGCGCUAGGCUGGUAAACUCAUAUUUGUAAUUAAAACCAGUUUUUUGUACUAUUUUUUUUGUGUUAAAAUAUUGUUCUUUGACUUAAGCUCAAUGUUAAAUAAUGAUUAUUUCUGGAAUUUUUUUCUUCAAAAUUUAUGUAAUUGAUUGUAAUGGCGAUAUCACAUCUAAAAAUGUUUUUUUUUGCA